This 106-nucleotide Y RNA is filed under the name Carlito syrichta (Philippine tarsier). Its description in RNAcentral is "Y RNA (ENSTSYG00000027770.1)". It matches the Rfam family "Y RNA". Rfam says of the family: Y RNAs are components of the Ro ribonucleoprotein particle (Ro RNP), in association with Ro60 and La proteins. The record is from Rfam by way of RNAcentral. Lineage: Eukaryota; Metazoa; Chordata; Mammalia; Primates; Tarsiidae.
GGUUUCUCCAAAGAUAAUGAGUUAUCUCAGUUGCUUUUUUACAGUCACAGAUGGAACUCUUUGUUCUACUCUUCCCCCUUUCACUACUGAACUUGACUUGUCUUUA